AGCAGCGUCGUCUCCAGCGGCGGCGACGAGGGCUACGGGACCGGGGGAGGCGGAAGCAGCGCGACCUCCGGGGGCCGGCGAGGCAGCUUGGAGAUGUCGUCGGAUGGGGAACCCCUGAGCCGCAUGGAUUCCGAGGACAGCAUAAGCAGUACUAUAAUGGAUGUAGACAGCACAAUUUCCAGUGGGCGUUCAACUCCAGCAAUGAUGAAUGGACAAGGAAGCACUACUUCUUCAAGCAAAAAUAUUGCCUAUAAUUGUUGUUGGGACCAGUGCCAGGCUUGCUUCAACUCUAGCCCAGAUCUGGCAGAUCACAUCCGUUCCAUACAUGUAGAUGGUCAGCGAGGAGGGGUAUUUGUUUGUUUAUGGAAAGGUUGCAAAGUAUAUAACACUCCAUCAACCAGUCAAAGUUGGUUACAGAGGCAUAUGCUGACACACAGUGGAGAUAAACCUUUCAAGUGUGUUGUUGGUGGUUGCAAUGCCAGCUUUGCUUCUCAGGGAGGGCUAGCUCGCCAUGUACCCACACACUUCAGUCAGCAGAACUCCUCAAAAGUUUCUAGCCAGCCAAAGGCCAAAGAAGAAUCUCCUUCUAAAGCUGGAAUGAACAAAAGGAGAAAAUUAAAGAACAAAAGACGACGCUCAUUACCACGACCACAUGAUUUCUUCGAUGCACAAACACUGGAUGCGAUAAGACAUCGAGCCAUAUGCUUUAACCUCUCAGCUCAUAUAGAAAGUUUAGGGAAGGGACACAGUGUUGUUUUUCAUAGUACUGUAAUAGCUAAGAGAAAAGAGGAUUCUGGAAAGAUAAAACUUUUGCUUCAUUGGAUGCCUGAAGACAUUCUGCCUGAUGUGUGGGUGAAUGAAAGUGAAAGACAUCAGUUAAAAACUAAAGUAGUUCAUUUAUCAAAGCUACCCAAAGAUACUGCCUUGCUUUUGGACCCAAACAUAUACAGAACAAUGCCGCAGAAGAGGUUGAAGAGAACUCUGAUAAGAAAAGUGUUCAAUUUGUAUUUAAGCAAACAGUGAACGACAUUUGCAAUCAACUAAAAAUUCGUCUAUCAAAUUAGGUCUGAAAAUUACUGUUAAAGAGUGUUGCAGUAUGUCUGGUGGCUCCCUUUUCAGGACUAGGGCUUUCUCAUGGAGUACAGUAUGUUAAUAUUUACCUAUAUAACUAAUCUGUUAACGGUUUUUGAAAAACCUCUCUUUCAAAUUAUUUGAAUAAUCCUCAUAUUUUCAUUUAACCUAUAUGACUCUAAUUUUUUUCUGAGGAAAGCAUUUGGUUUUUGAGUUGUUUUUUCUUAAUGUAAGAAAAACUGUAUUUUUUUUAAAAGUUAUCUUCAAACUAAAUCCUUUAUGCACCAAAGUUGGUUUUGAAAAGGAAAAUAAAAUCACUUUCUUGCUCGGUAAGCAAGAAGCCAUAUGGAUUUUUUUUUUAACUUACAGAAAUGGAAAUAUGUGUAACUUGUUAGUAUUGUAUUAAACAAAUGUUGCAUAGAGAUAAUAGAACAUUGCUUGUAUAUAAUUCAGCAGAUUUGUAAUAUAUUUUUAUAUUUUCAAAUGUACUGUAGAUGUUUUUCUAGAGGCAUGAAAGUUAAAUGUAUAUAUUAUGGUAGAAAUAAUAUUGAAGGAUAUUGUAAUUCACUAGUGCUGCCAGAGGAAUUGUUAAUAAAGCACCUUCUUUAACAAUAAAUGUCUUUUGCAGACUUAAGGGACUAUGUACUACUGUUAUUAUCUAUAAGAACAAAAAACAUUGAACAUCCUUCCAGAAAGUCUUUGAGGGAGGACCCAUACCCAUAAUAGAAUUAUGGCACUCAUUUCUGACAGUGACCGUGAAAUCAAUUAUUUCCUUACUGUUGGAAGGACAUAUUGUAAAGUAUGUGGUUAUAUGCAGUCAAACUGCAGAAAAUGCUCCUGAUUGAGGAGUUUUCACUUCACUACAGUGAUAUAAAAACCAGCAGUUUUUACACUAAAUUUUUUAAAGAAAGAAUAGACAAAAAUAUAGAAUUAAAUAAGCCUUUGGUUCCAAAAUGAGAAAGAUUCCAUGGUACAUAAAUCAUUUCUCAUUUGCUUUAAAAAAUUAAAAAAUAAUAAAAACUAUGGGAGUCUUUAUUCGUUAACAGUGGGGGUAAAGAGCUAUAUACAUGAAAUGAGUCAUAUAAAACUAAAUGAAGUGCAAAUAAAAGCACUGCUACUAUAAGACAUUCUGGAAUGGUUGUUUAAUAAGGGUAUUAUCCAUACGAUCUGUAGCAAAUGUGAUUUUAUUUUUAAAAAGAAAAGAAAAGCAGUGUGUUUUCUUACAUUUUUUGUUUUCUUUUGCUUAAGCACUUCAUCAAUUGCUUUAUUCUGUAUCUUGCGAAGUAAUCUGCAAUCUCCUUUGUUCUUUUCAAAUUUUGAUUUGUUAUAAAAUUGCCAAAUAGAAGUGUUUCAGAUAUAUAGUUUGUACUUGUAUUUUUAUUUUAUUGCAUCAUGUUCUUGUAAGUCAUUCUUAAUUGACCAAUGAUUGUAGACCUUGCUUGAGUAUUUUUUCUAAUAAAACAAAGCAAAUUACAUUUAGCUUCAAA
Molecule: RNA transcript, 2558 nt
Organism: Galeopterus variegatus (Sunda flying lemur)
Lineage: Eukaryota; Metazoa; Chordata; Mammalia; Dermoptera; Cynocephalidae
Gene: AEBP2
Gene name: AE binding protein 2
Exons: 10
Source: RefSeq, a predicted model, not a curated record